GCUCAGGCUGUGAUUUCAAGCCAGGGGGCGCUUUUCUGUAACUGCAUGAAAAGCACCUCCGGGGUUUGAAGCUCACAGUUUGAGA
Chlorocebus sabaeus (green monkey) is the source of this 85-nucleotide microRNA precursor. It matches the Rfam family "mir-498 microRNA precursor family". The record is from Rfam. Lineage: Eukaryota; Metazoa; Chordata; Mammalia; Primates; Cercopithecidae.